RNAcentral lists this unclassified non-coding RNA (207 nucleotides) under uncultured Peniophorella. Its description in RNAcentral is "sequence contains ITS2". Lineage: Eukaryota; Fungi; Basidiomycota; Agaricomycetes; Corticiales; Corticiaceae. The record is from RNAcentral.
GAACUCCUCAACCCUGGAUGGAUUUUGAAUCUGACCAGUGGCUUGGAUUUGGGGGCUUGCUGGCCGUUUCAAUUCGGUCUGCUCCCCUUGAAUGUAUUAGCUUGGACUUGUUACGAAGGCUACAUAGCGUGAUAAUUAUCUACGCUUUGGUUGCUUUUGAAACACUGCUGGUCUAGCUUCAAAUCGUCCUUCUGGACACUCUUCACU